Non-coding RNA from Acanthosepion pharaonis, 97 nucleotides. NCBI's taxonomy places the organism in Eukaryota, Metazoa, Mollusca, Cephalopoda, Sepiida, Sepiidae. The record is from the annotation of a GenBank genome assembly.
UUGAAGCAAUGGUUUCCGUACGAUUACCGAAGUUAAGCAACGUCGAGCCUGGUCAGUACCUGCUUGGGUGACCACUUGGCAAUACCAAGUUUUGUAA